RNAcentral lists this ribosomal RNA (253 nucleotides) under uncultured bacterium. RNAcentral describes it as "partial 16S ribosomal RNA". It matches the Rfam family "Bacterial small subunit ribosomal RNA", at positions 524 to 776 of the family's 1533-position model. The record is from RNAcentral.
UACGUAGGGUGCGAGCGUUAAUCGGAAUUACUGGGCGUAAAGCGUGCGCAGGCGGUUGUGUAAGACAGAUGUGAAAUCCCCGGGCUCAACCUGGGAACUGCAUUUGUGACUGCAAGGCUCGAGUGCGGCAGAGGAGACUGGAAUUCCUGGUGUAGCAGUGAAAUGCGUAGAUAUCAGGAGGAACACCGAUGGCGAAGGCAGGUCUCUGGGCUGACACUGACGCUCAUGCACGAAAGCGUGGGGAGCAAACAGG